GCGGCGGCGGGGCAGGCCCGAGCCGGGCUCCCGCAGCCAGGGUGGGAGGAGGAGAGGCCGCGCGGCGCGGGUGAGUGCCCAGGUUCAUUCAUGCAGAGGGCAUUUAUUGGUGUCUGCAGUACUGCACAAGGUUGCAAAGGAAAUGGAAGAGCUGCUCCCUGCAGGUCAGGAGUUUGCAGUCUAAUUGGGAACACACGGCAUAAUGUGUAUCCACGAAACAGCCAGAAAAUGAUCCCCACUUGUGAUAUAAGCAAGAGGAGGUUGGGGGUAUUUUUUUCAUAAGAAGGGCUUUGUAUUCGUGUGAUUGGGGAUUAGGAGACAAAAUGUAAGCCCCAAUGAAGACAAGAGUGCCUCAAAGUACCCCUGUUAUACGGAACAAUAUAAAUGGGACCUCAGUGUCACUUGGCGGAAGUAUCAGCCCUGCCAUUUACAAACUGUUUUGACCUUGGGCACGUUUUUAAUCCAAGAAGGGAAUAAAGGCUGUCUCAUGAG
Long non-coding RNA from Lepus europaeus (European hare), 492 nucleotides. RefSeq lists it as uncharacterized. NCBI's taxonomy places the organism in Eukaryota, Metazoa, Chordata, Mammalia, Lagomorpha, Leporidae. The transcript is spliced from 2 exons. The record is from RefSeq and is a predicted model, not a curated record.